This 306-nucleotide long non-coding RNA is filed under the name Marmota monax (woodchuck). Lineage: Eukaryota; Metazoa; Chordata; Mammalia; Rodentia; Sciuridae. The record is from RNAcentral.
UAAAAAUUUCUGUCAUUGGUUACAAAUUUUUACUCAGACUUUCUAUUGGCAUGGAUUUCCUUUGACUUCUCACUUUUUAUAGAUUCUAAUGCAUCUGAACAACCCCACCUGGUCAGUGUGCCAAAUUGUCCAUUUUGAACUCAUCUCCAGCCAGUUUCAAAGACACUGUUUUGGAAGACAAAACAAAACAGACCAGCACAGUUCUGCAAUAACAGUUUUAACUUUAACAUGGGCAUAGCAUUUAGGGAGAAGGGUUCUUUAUUCAAUGUACUGUAUUGGGACGCUGGUAACUGUUAACCCAGUGUU